GACAGAGGGUGCAAACGUUGUUCGGAAUUACUGGGCGUAAAGCGUGUGUAGGCGGUCUCGUAAGUCGGGUGUGAAAGCCCUGGGCUCAACCCAGGAAGUGCACUCGAAACUGCGAGGCUAGAGUACUGGAGAGGUUGGUGGAAUUCUCGGUGUAGAGGUGAAAUUCGUAGAUAUCGAGAGGAACACCGGUGGCGAAGGCGGGUCUCUGGGCCGUAACUGACGCUGAGGAGCGAAAGCAUGGGGAGCGAACAGG
This 253-nucleotide ribosomal RNA is filed under the name uncultured bacterium. RNAcentral's name for it is "partial 16S ribosomal RNA". It matches the Rfam family "Bacterial small subunit ribosomal RNA", at positions 524 to 776 of the family's 1533-position model. The record is from RNAcentral.